GCGAAAGUCGAGGUGGUACGAAAAUCUGCUUCUCUGUGAGAGUACGGGUUCGAGUCCCGUCGUCCGCACCA
This 71-nucleotide transfer RNA is filed under the name Escherichia coli. RNAcentral describes it as "tRNA-Thr". RNAcentral also lists the same sequence under 5 other names. Lineage: Bacteria; Pseudomonadati; Pseudomonadota; Gammaproteobacteria; Enterobacterales; Enterobacteriaceae. The record is from RNAcentral.